GGAGGGGUGGCAGAGCGGCUAAUUGCACCGGUCUUGAAAACCGGCGGGUCUUUACCCACGUGGGUUCGAAUCCCACCCCCUCCGCCA
RNAcentral lists this transfer RNA (87 nucleotides) under Gammaproteobacteria bacterium. RNAcentral's name for it is "tRNA-Ser". It matches the Rfam family "tRNA". Rfam says of the family: Transfer RNA (tRNA) molecules are approximately 80 nucleotides in length. Their secondary structure includes four short double-helical elements and three loops (D, anti-codon, and T loops). The record is from RNAcentral. Lineage: Bacteria; Pseudomonadati; Pseudomonadota; Gammaproteobacteria.